RNAcentral lists this ribosomal RNA (473 nucleotides) under uncultured bacterium. RNAcentral describes it as "SSU rRNA". It matches the Rfam family "Bacterial small subunit ribosomal RNA", at positions 26 to 518 of the family's 1533-position model. The record is from RNAcentral.
AGGACGAACGCUGGCGGCGUGCUUAACACAUGCAAGUCGAACGGAAAGGCCCUUCGGGGUACUCGAGUGGCGAACGGGUGAGUAACACGUGGGUGAUCUGCCCCGCACUUUGGGAUAAGCCUGGGAAACUGGGUCUAAUACCGAAUAGGACCAUGGCAUGCAUGUGCUGUGGUGGAAAGCUUUUGCGGUGUGGGAUGGGCCCGCGGCCUAUCAGCUUGUUGGUGGGGUUAAGGCCUACCAAGGCGACGACGGGUAGCCGGCCUGAGAGGGUGUCCGGCCACACUGGGACUGAGAUACGGCCCAGACUCCUACGGGAGGCAGCAGUGGGGAAUAUUGCACAAUGGGCGCAAGCCUGAUGCAGCGACGCCGCGUGGGGGAUGACGGCCUUCGGGUUGUAAACCCUUCAGUAGGGACGAAGCGCAAGUGACGGUACCUACAGAAGAAGCACCGGCCAACUACGUGCCAGCAGCCGC